Molecule: non-coding RNA, 491 nt
Organism: Camellia sinensis
Lineage: Eukaryota; Viridiplantae; Streptophyta; Magnoliopsida; Ericales; Theaceae
Source: RefSeq, a predicted model, not a curated record
UGAUAAGGGUCUCUACAACUCAAUUGUCAUGGUCUAUCUGAUAAGGGUCUCUACAACUCAACAUAUAGUUUAAUAGUACCCCAAUCAACAUGGCAUGAUCUGCAGUUUGUUAGAUAACAAAUAUGUUUCGUGAAAUGGAAAUACGUGGGCGUGUGGCUAUCCCCACAAAAAGCCUGGACAGAAAUGGAGUGGUCCCCCAAAGUUCAGUUGUGACAGGCCUCUAAAAGGAAUUGCUGCUCAUUAAGUCCACAGAGGAGCAUGGUUGCUUCCUUGCAAUAACCGAACUGAAGAGCAUAGGCAAUGGUGAGUUUGAAGAUGAAUCAGGGGACGUCCUCUUCUCGGUGGCCUUUCACUGUCGCACCUUCCUACCUGUCAAUGGAGAGAUCAUGCUUGGAGUUGUGCACAAGAUACAUAGAAGGGGGGUCUUCUUGAGAUGUGGACCCAUGAAAUAUAUUUAUCUAUCAGCUCAAAAGAUGCCAAAUUUCUACUAU